Molecule: long non-coding RNA, 3470 nt
Filed under: Strigops habroptila (Kakapo)
Lineage: Eukaryota; Metazoa; Chordata; Aves; Psittaciformes; Psittacidae
Description: lncRNA (ENSSHBG00005015953.1)
Source: RNAcentral
AUAGUGAUGUUAGACAAAGUUGGUUUAAAACUAUUAUUUAUUAAUGGUGCUGUUCUCCAAUGUAUUUCAAGUCAUUCCUUCCUUCAGUGCUUUCCCACCAAGGGUGGGGCUGGAGAGGGGAAAAAUUUGCAAAGGCUCUAGCCUAUGAAUAAUGAAUUGAGGACAUUUAACAAAAAAGAAACAAGAGUGGCCUCCAGCAAUGAUAUUUUACAGGGAAGUGUUUGUUAUGCAGUCUUUGCUCAGCUGGAUGUGAACUUAAUUCACUGGUCUUCAUGUCCAAAAGUUUAGUCCUUUGGGGGAAGAAAGGGAAUGAAACAUAUACAUAAAAGAAACAUCUACGUUUAAUGAGCUGGUGAUUAUUGGCAGGGGAUAUUUUCUGACUAUCAGGAUCCUUCUAGGAUCACUGUUGCUCUGGACUGACAAGCCCAGGGGCUGAACUCAGAACUUAUGAGCAGCUCUCAUUGAUGGUAAUGGGAACUGCACGUGCAGCUGAGGGUAAAAUCAGGCUCAUGCCUUGGGAUGUUUUUCCAUAUACAUGGAAAGAGAUGAUAGAUUUGAGGGAGCAAGAGAUUGAGAGAGGUAUUAGAUACAGGUUGAUAUGCAGUCUUCCUUUCCCACGGCAUAUUUCUCCUUUGUUCCCAGUUAGCUGCAAAACAGAGGUAUGAUGCUCCUUGAUUGUGGUGUUAGUAUCUGAUAGGCAUUCUGGAGAGAUAAAUUGCUACACAGGACUCAAGGUAGUGCAGAAUCUGGUACUUGUGUGGAUGUGUAACGUUAGAGGUGUUUUCAGUAUAGAGUCCUCCAAUCCCCAGAGUGGUAUAUAAAGGGGAACUGCUUUUCUCCUUUAGGCCCAGCCAUCAGCUUGAAAUAGCUCAGCCAUAGGCAGUAGCUACAUCAGAUAUGAGGUAGUGCCAGCAAGAGGAGAGACUUAAUCUGCUCUCCCACACAGACAGUGUUCUGAUCAAAAUACACAGAGAUUAUACGUGGGUACAGACAGGCACAAGCUGUCUCUCAACAUUAUAGAUAUGCAUAUUUGCUCUCGUUAUAGACCUCUCUUGUGCAGUGCCCAUGUGAGUCAUUGCUUAUAGCACCAUAUAAGGUAGAGUGAGUAGCAGAACCUGCACACCACACAUCAACACGUGCACAUGAAGAAAGAGCAACAAGGUAUGAAGCUCUUACUGCCAGGAGCCUGGGGUGUUGCCCUCUGUCAACUUGGGAAGGUAGGAAUGAUUUAAGAACUCCUCCCAAGAAACAGCCAACCAAAGACUGCAUCAUGUCACCAGGGUUUUUUUUUUGGUUCAAGAGGCGUAUUUUAUGUAACUGUUUUCAAGUCUAAGCCUGGUUUUUAAUGAGUAGUAGGUUUUCUCUCUCUGAAGCCAGGCUCCCUGAGUCCUGUGAGGCUGACUACCAGCUGCUCUGUUCCCUGAGCAAGAAUAAACUCUAAUUUAAAACUGCAAAAGCUUUAAAAUGAGCUAAACUCGGGCAUGCUGCAUCCCCCUUUCCACUUGCUUCACUGGGUAAAUGAGCACACAAGCUGCAGGGCAGGGAAAAUCAGAGCUUUAUAGUUAGAAAUGCAGGGGAUGGAUAGAAAAUAAAUGUUAUCAGGCCCCUGCUGCUUUCUUUCUAGUAAGGGUUAAUAACACAGGCAAAUAUUUAAAUGACUAAAAGGCAUCACUACCUUUAAUAUGCAACCCAUUAGGGUCCUUUUGUUCCCCAAAAGAAGUCGAGUCUCUUGGGACAUCAUCCAAGCCCACAUUUAAGCUUGUUUAAAUAGAAGUCCCUGGUUAAGUGCUGCCCCUGAAUUUUUUCUGUGUAAGGUCAUUAAAUAUCAUGUACUCAAAAUUGGCAAGGGAAAAAUGGAAUGGGAACUUGUAAUCUCAUUUAUUAAUGACUAUACACAACUCUCUGAUGCCUCUCCCUUUUGUGACUCAAACGGUUGCUCUAUAAAUAAGCUUAGUCCUGUCAGCCUUGACUUUGAGAGCAGCCUGGAUGUGUUAGAAAUGAAAAUGUGCUCUUGCAGAAAAUGGUGAUCACAUAAAAAUAAAUUACUGGGAAAGAAAAUGUUGGGUGAAAAAUUCCAGAACUGGGAGUCAAAAAUGCCAUGUUUCAGUCCUCUGAGGGUUGGGGUGUUACACACCCCUACCCUUGCCUCUGGCCUGAGCUUCCCAGCCAAACCAUCCUUACCUGGGGAGAUGCAUUGUCAUGUACCCAAAGGAAAGGGGAUUGUCCAGGAAGGAUCCCAAUGGAGAGACUCAGAGAGACAAUACACAGACUCCCAUGAGGUAAUGUUAUGGCACUUCCAAAUCAAAGAUUGUGCUUUUUAAGCCUUUUUUUUUUUUUUAUUCCAUAUUAGUUUUCUUCUGAAAACUUGAAACAUUUUGUAGUAAAUUCUGUCAUUCCUCCCCCAGUUUGUUUUUCUACUGGAACAGCCACAAUUUCUAACUAGGUCUACCUGUAAUUUAUGAGGGAUAAAGCACAUGAAAUAAUGCCCUAAUGCCCUAUCCAUGCAUCUACUUUGUUGCUGCUUUCUCUCUUGCCUUUAUGCAUAGGUUGAUGCAUGCACAUACACACAUGCAGAAACACCCCAAAGUUCCCUGCUGCUUUUCUUUUUGGCAGUGAAUUCCCAAUCUUCUCCUACUCAUUCUCCCUUUAAUCCCAUGCAGCCACAAUAGCCACCUAUUGAGAACAGGAUUGCAUGAGGGUCUGUGCCUACGCAUGCAGAGAAACUGUGGGUAAUAUACAGCAUCUAUUUUUGAACAGAAUGCCCUUAACCUGCUGCAGAUGCUUUAUUGUACACUGGCACAGAUGUAUCACAUGCCAGUGUGCUUUCAGUUGAGCAGAGCAAUAGAAAUACCUGCAGGGCAUGAAUCUAAUUGCCUUUGUUGUACCUGAUGAAGAUAACUGCACGCUGCAGACACUUUCCUUGCCAGCUCCUUUACUUCCACUGAGACUCAUUUACAAUGUCACAAAUUAACACAGGCUUGAGCCACAUUUUCAGUGAGGCUCAGUGGGGCACGGCUGUUCCAAAUGAUGCUCAUGUGUCUGCAGAAAGGUAGGAGUGAGAAAAUACUGGGAUAGCACGUGUAGGAGGGCUCAGGAAACCUUCUAGCAGACCUGCAUAUUGGCUUGCUGUUGCUCUAGCCUGUUCUAGUUUACAUAGGAAAAGCUAUUCUUUUAACUGUUAGGCAGCAUGUUCCUGUCAACAAAGAGGGCCCUCGAAGAGCAGAAAGGCAAAGGAGGCAAAGGUGAAGGAGGGAUGCCUGCAGCCACUGAGGGGCUGUGCUGUACACCAGGUACCAAAGGAGGUGGUGAAGGCAAACCCUUGCUCCAAAGUAGGGCCAGCCAAGCCCAAGCCAAGGUGGGGACACCCUGGCCUGUGUCACAUGAUGCUGGCUGCACCCCAGCAUGCUGAAAAGAUCUUUCCAAAGGAACAAACCUUUGCCUGGCAUUCUUGGGAAUUUAAUCCCAGCAAU